UGUUGCUCAGAAGUAGAGUGCUUGCCUAUUAUGCAUGAGGCACUGGGUUCGAUCCCCAGCA
This 61-nucleotide transfer RNA is filed under the name Ictidomys tridecemlineatus (thirteen-lined ground squirrel). Its description in RNAcentral is "Spermophilus tridecemlineatus (thirteen-lined ground squirrel) tRNA". It matches the Rfam family "tRNA", at positions 6 to 65 of the family's 71-position model. Rfam says of the family: Transfer RNA (tRNA) molecules are approximately 80 nucleotides in length. The record is from Rfam by way of RNAcentral. Lineage: Eukaryota; Metazoa; Chordata; Mammalia; Rodentia; Sciuridae.